UGUGGAACUUAAAAAUCAGUGACCACUAUUUAUUAACUCCAAACCUACAGGCCCAUUACCUAACAACACUGGCCCACAUUUUUCGGUUGGGGCGACCUUGGAGAAAAGCAAAUCCUCCAAAAAUAAGACCACCUCUCUUAACCAAGAGCCACUCCUCAACGUACUAAUAGUAACCAGACCCAAUAUAAUUGACAAAUGGACCAAGCUACCCCA
RNAcentral lists this ribosomal RNA (213 nucleotides) under Scolopax rusticola. RNAcentral's name for it is "partial 16S ribosomal RNA". Lineage: Eukaryota; Metazoa; Chordata; Aves; Charadriiformes; Scolopacidae. The record is from RNAcentral.